GCCCCACCCACCUAGAGGAGCCUGUUCUAUAAUCGAUAACCCCCGCUUAACCUCACCACUUCUUGCCAAUACCGCCUAUAUACCACCGUCGCCAGCCCACCCCGUGAGGGAAAUAGUAGGCACAAUGAUAAGUCACCAAAACGUCAGGUCAAGGUGUAGCGUAUGAAGUGGAAAGAAAUGGGCUACAUUCUCUAACCUAGAGCACACGAAAAAUCAUAUGAAAUUAGAUUAGAAGGAGGAUUUAGUAGUAAAAAGAAACAAUAGUGUUCUUUUUAAGUUGGCCCUGGGGCGCGCACACACCGCCCGUCACCCUCUUCAACUAAUAAAACACGAUUUAUAAAACACAAAACAAACACAAGAAGAGGUAAGUCGUAACAUGGUAAGUAUACCGGAAGGUGUGCUUGGAAUUA
This 410-nucleotide ribosomal RNA is filed under the name Bombina orientalis. Its description in RNAcentral is "partial 12S ribosomal RNA". It matches the Rfam family "Bacterial small subunit ribosomal RNA", at positions 918 to 1533 of the family's 1533-position model. Lineage: Eukaryota; Metazoa; Chordata; Amphibia; Anura; Bombinatoridae. The record is from RNAcentral.